Molecule: ribosomal RNA, 322 nt
Filed under: uncultured eukaryote
Lineage: Eukaryota
Description: partial 18S ribosomal RNA
Rfam family: Eukaryotic small subunit ribosomal RNA
Source: RNAcentral
CCCUUAGAUGUUCUGGGCCGCACGCGUGCUACACUGAGUGGAUCAGCGGGUCAGGUUGCGCGAAAGUGUUUCCUAAUCUUGAAAUCCGCUCGUGAUGGGGAUUGACGGUUGCAAUUUUCCGUCAUGAACGAGGAAUACCUUGUAAGCGCGGGUCAUCAUCCCGCGCUGAAUACGUCCCUGCCCUUUGUACACACCGCCCGUCGCUCCUACCGAUUGAGUGGUCCGGUGAGGCUUUGGGAUCUGAGCGGAAAGAGCGUUUCGCUGUUUCUGCUCGGAAAACUCAGUCGAACCUUAUCAUUUAGAGAAAGGAGAAGUCGUAACA